This is a non-coding RNA of Phrynosoma platyrhinos (Desert horned lizard), 74 nucleotides long. NCBI's taxonomy places the organism in Eukaryota, Metazoa, Chordata, Lepidosauria, Squamata, Phrynosomatidae. The record is from the annotation of a GenBank genome assembly.
UUCAGAGUGUGGCAUAGUGGUCUGAGCGUUGGACUAUGACUCUGGAGACUAGGGUUCGAUUCCCAGCUUAGAAA